GACGAACGCUGGCGGCGUGCUUAACACAUGCAAGUCGAGCGGAAAGGCCCUUCGGGGUACUCGAGCGGCGAACGGGUGAGUAACACGUGAGUAACCUGCCCCUGACUCUGGGAUAAGCCUGGGAAACCGGGUCUAAUACCGGAUACGACACAUGGCCGCAUGGUCUGUGUGUGGAAAGUUUUUUCGGUCGGGGAUGGGCUCGCGGCCUAUCAGCUUGUUGGUGGGGUGAUGGCCUACCAAGGCGACGACGGGUAGCCGGCCUGAGAGGGCGACCGGCCACACUGGGACUGAGACACGGCCCAGACUCCUACGGGAGGCAGCAGUGGGGAAUAUUGCGCAAUGGGCGGAAGCCUGACGCAGCGACGCCGCGUGGGGGAUGACGGCCUUCGGGUUGUAAACCUCUUUCAGCAGGGACGAAGUUGACGUGUACCUGUAGAAGAAGCGCCGGCUAACUACGUGCCAGCAGCCGCGGUAAUACGUAGGGCGCGAGCGUUGUCCGGAAUUAUUGGGCGUAAAGAGCUCGUAGGUGGCUUGUCGCGUCUGCCGUGAAAGCCCGUGGCUUAACUACGGGUCUGCGGUGGAUACGGGCAGGCUAGAGGCUGGUAGGGGCAAGUGGAAUUCCUGGUGUAGCGGUGAAAUGCGCAGAUAUCAGGAGGAACACCGGUGGCGAAGGCGGCUUGCUGGGCCAGUUCUGACGCUGAGGAGCGAAAGCGUGGGGAGCGAACAGGAUUAGAUACCCUGGUAGUCCACGCUGUAAACGUUGGGCGCUAGGUGUGGGGGUCUUCCACGAUUCCUGUGCCGUAGCUAACGCAUUAAGCGCCCCGCCUGGGGAGUACGGCCGCAAGGCUAA
RNAcentral lists this ribosomal RNA (850 nucleotides) under uncultured Actinomycetes bacterium. Its description in RNAcentral is "bacterial SSU rRNA". It matches the Rfam family "Bacterial small subunit ribosomal RNA", at positions 28 to 897 of the family's 1533-position model. Lineage: Bacteria; Bacillati; Actinomycetota; Actinomycetes. The record is from RNAcentral.